CCUACGGGAUGCACCAGUGAGGAAUAUUGGACAAUGGGUGGAAGCCUGAUCCAGCCAUCCCGCGUGCAGGAAGACGGCCCUAUGGGUUGUAAACUGCUUUUAUCUGGGGAUAAACCUACUUACGUGUAAGUAGCUGAAGGUACCAGAAGAAUAAGCACCGGCUAACUCCGUGCCAGCAGCCGCGGUAAUACAGAGGGUGCAAGCGUUAUCUGGACUUAUUGGGUUUAAAGGGUUCGUAGGCGGACUAGUAAGUCAGUGGUGAAAUCCGACAGCUUAACUGUCGAACUGCCAUUGAUACUGCUAGUCUUGAGUAAGGUUGAAGUGGCUGGAAUAAGUAGUGUAGCGGUGGAAUGCAUAGAUAUUACUUAGAACACCAAUUGCGAAGGCAGGUCACUAAGUCUUAACUGACGCUGAUGGACGAAAGCGUGGGGAGCGAACAGGAUUAGAUACCCCAGUAGUC
Molecule: ribosomal RNA, 460 nt
Filed under: uncultured bacterium
Lineage: Bacteria
Description: bacterial SSU rRNA
Rfam family: Bacterial small subunit ribosomal RNA
Source: RNAcentral